Molecule: unclassified non-coding RNA, 8792 nt
Filed under: Agrilus planipennis (emerald ash borer)
Lineage: Eukaryota; Metazoa; Arthropoda; Insecta; Coleoptera; Buprestidae
Description: teneurin-a, transcript variant X5
Source: RNAcentral
ACCCGAUAGUGUCGUUGAAAUGUCAGUUUUUCCGGAAAAACUACAACAUUAAUUACUGUUUUAUUAAUUUAUAGCACACACGUAAGAUAGGAAUCGUUUUCCGAGAUCGGUAACGCGAAACCACUUCCAUUUAGCCCCUCGAACUGUGGGUCUAAUUGCGUGUUUAGCAUCUCGCUCUCUCUCUACCCCAAGACUUAUUAACCAAACUGAGACACACAUGUAUUAAAGUGAUGAUGUAAACUUCAAGUGGCGAUUUUAUCAGAAGUGGAAAGGGUGCCAAAAUGGAUGAGUAUAGUCCCAAACCUCCUCCCCUACCCAGGAGGAUUGUGAGGAACAUAUAUGCAGAGCCUUUUAGUCACGAGACAGUAAGACUUCCCUCGGGUUUGCAACAGACCCAAAUUGCCCAGCAGAUCCCGAGCGGCGGUAACACGAUUCAAAACAACACCCACUGUCAACAGUCACAGGCGCCCCUUGUCAUGCCCGUUUUUCCUUUACGACCUCCGGUAGCUCCCACCCACGCUCCUCAUUAUUCCCCCUAUUCCCCGUCUAGAUUCCACAUAGAUAAACAGUGUCAUCAUCGAUGCACGUGGAAAUGUUUCAGUAUCGCCUUGAUACUAAUAGCUGUUAUUCUGUCAGGAAUGCUCGCUUAUUUUGCAGCCGUCAGUUCUGCGAAACCCAGUAUGGACGCAUCUAGCUGCAUAUUGGUCCAGGACGUCAAAGAUGUUACUAACGACCAAAUUACACAGGGAUCGAUCUCUUCUCAACUUCCCACUGAAGAAUCUUUGCCAACGAGCACAGCUGAGCAUUCGAGCGUGACGACAAACGUGGCAUUACAACAACAGCCGCAACAACAGAGUCAGUCGCAGCCGCAGUGGCCGCCACUGCUCGAGCUCCGGGAUUUCGACGUGCUCCACACCACCACCAUUCCACCUUAUCAGUUCUGGAACUCGGAAUUCCGCAACAAGCAGCCCGCAUUCAUCCGGUUCAAUUUCACGCUGCCGUGGGGCGCCAACUUCGCCGUCUAUGGACGGAGGAACGUGGUGCCCAGCGUCACGCAGUACGACUUCGUCGAAUUCGUCAAAGGUGGAAGGGUCGAUCAUCGGUUAAGGAAAAGGGACGUUGUCACGAAGCAUGAGCUUAAAAGGAGCAAAUCCAACUUUAAAAUAAACGACAGAAAUAAUAAAGACAUACUGGAUGUUAUUUCGAGUUCCUAUGAAGCUACCAGGAAGAUCCUCUCCGAUUCUGAAAGUGCACAGAUUCCAAUUUUUAUUCCUCGAAAUGUACGACUGAAUGCGACAGAAAUUGAACCAACGGAUUUACCGCGACCAACGGUUAAUCUUGGAGUCACUCUUGACGCGCACAUUAUUUCAAAAAGAGAAACAGAACUGGAAGCUAUGAUGGUGAACGUGAGUUUACUUCAAUACCUUGACACGGGUCGUUGGUUUCUUUCGGUUUACAACGACGAACUUCGACCCCACAGCGUUUCCAUGGUAAUUUCGGAAGCGGAAGAUGUAACGACAACUUGCCCAAACGACUGUUCGGGCAGAGGAUCGUGCUAUCUUGGCAAAUGCGAGUGUGUGGACGGCUUCCAGGGAAUUGACUGCUCAAAAAGUGUUUGCCCGGUCUUAUGUUCAGCGCACGGCCAAUACGGCGGCGGCAUUUGCCACUGUGAAGAGGGAUGGAAAGGGCCGGAAUGCGACGUACCGGAGGCCGAAUGUCGUGUGCCUGCCUGUUCCGGAAACGGCCUUUGUGUAAGCGGAAGUUGCCAAUGCAAAAAGGGCUGGAAAGGAGACGCUUGUGACGAGCCGGACUGCGAAGACCCAACUUGUUCGAACCACGGAGCGUGUGUCCACGGCCAGUGCUAUUGCAAAGCGGGGUGGAAGGGUGGCCGUUGUCACCUAAUUGACGAACAAGUCCACAAGUGUCUCCCCAGCUGCUCGGACCACGGGGUCUACGACCUGGAGUCCGCCAAAUGCGUCUGUAAUAGACACUGGACCGGACCUGAUUGCUCACAAGCCCUUUGUAAUUUGGACUGCGGCCCGAACGGCAUUUGCGACAGCGGAAAAUGCCAAUGUAAUCCUGGUUGGACAGGCUCUCGAUGUGAUCAACUGCCUUGUGAUCCUCGUUGUCAAGAGCAUGGCCAAUGCCGCAACGGCACCUGCGUCUGUUCCCAAGGAUGGAAUGGGAAACACUGUACCUUGCCGGGUUGUGAAAACGGCUGUUCUGGCCAUGGCCAGUGUAACUUGGAAGAGGGUGUUUACCUCUGCGUCUGUAUCAAGGGAUGGGCUGGUUCUGAUUGUAGCAUUCCCUUAGAAACCGAAUGCAACGAUGAUAUUGACAACGAUUUCGACGGGAUGGCUGAUUGUUUCGACAGCGAAUGCUGUUCUCAUGCCAGUUGUGCAGAUCACAUAAUGUGCUUGGCUAGCAACGAUCCUGUCGAAGUUCUCCUGCGGAAGCAGCCGCCUUCGGUUACUGCUUCCUUUUACCAGCGCGUCAAGUUUCUGAUCGAAGAGAACUCGGUUCAGUCGUACGCUCACAUGGACGAAUACACGGAAAGCGAGUUCUGGAAUUCCUUUACACCGCGUCGAGUAGCCGUCAUGCGAGGACAAGUGGUGACACCCCAAGGACUGGGAAUCGUGGGAAUAAGAGUCUCGGUCGACAAGGAAUCCCGAUUAGGAUUUACGCUUACUCGUCAAGGGGGGUGGUUUGAUGUAUUGGUUAAUGGUGGAGGAGCAGUGACAUUACAGUUUCAAAGAUCACCUUUUCGACCCCUCACCAGGACCGUGUUUGUUCCUUGGAAUCAAAUUGUAGUUUUACCCCCAGUACAUAUGGAGUUAAUGGAAGAUGCUAAAGUUGAGCAAUCACACACAAGCUUCCUUGCUCGCAAUCCGGCUAUAAUGUUUCAAGGAGUUUCAAGACCAUUUUUUCAUUUCAAUGGAGAUGUGCCAGUAACAUGUCCUGAUCACGACCUUGAAUUAUUAAAACCAAUAAUAACUGGCACAUGGAUCCCAGAAGCUGUUGGUGGUUUUCCUGGCAAAAGUAUAAUAUUUGCUGAAAACCAGGUGGUCCAAGAGUCCAUAUCGAUACCUGGCUCAGAUCUUCAUUUGAUGUAUCGAUCAUCUCAAGCAGCAGGAUUUUUUAGCACCAUUCACAUGAAACUAACAGAUGAUAGUAUACCAAAUACUUUAACCCAUAUACAUGUAAGAGUAGAAGUGGAAGGGUCUCUGCAUGUCAAAACAUACGAAGCUGAUCCAAAUUUAACACAUAUUUUUGCUUGGAAUAAAAGAAAUGUGUAUAAACAGAAAGUAUAUGGUCUGGCUCAGGCUAAGGUUUCAAUUGGGUAUCAACACUCCACCUGUAUUGAGCCAGUAUGGGAAACUCAAACAGCUGCAUUACAAGGUUUUGAAGUUGAUAUAUCUGAUAUCGGAGGCUGGGGUUUGGAUAUUCAUCAUCAUUACAAUUUCCAUGAAGGAAUUCUGCAGAAAGGGGAUGGUUCCACAGUACAUCUGAAGGAGUAUCCUAGAACUGUAGAAGUUGUAAUGGGCACUGGAGCUCAAAGAACGCUAGAAUGUCCUGGUCAGUGUGGAGGUUCAGCAAAAGAUGCAAAAUUAUUAACGCCCGUUGCUCUUGCAAGCGGUCCGGAUGGAAGUUUGUAUGUUGGGGACUUUAACUUAGUGCGAAGAAUCAAUCCAGAGGGAGGUGUUUAUACUGUUUUACAAUUAAGAGCAACGCAGGUAUCUUACCAAUAUUAUUUGGCUGUUUCACCUGCUGACGGGCGAUUGUAUAUCUCUGACCCUGAAAAACAUCAAAUUUUGAGAAUAAUUACUUUAGAUCCUACUGCUGAUCCAACUGUGAACAGCGAACCGGUUGUUGGGAGUGGUGAAAGAUGUAUACCUGGAGAUGAAAGUCAGUGUGGUGAUGAAGGUCCUGCCAAACACGCACGCUUAGCUCAUCCAAAAGGAAUAGCGAUUGCUGCAGAUAGGACAAUGUAUAUCGCCGAUGGUACUAACAUAAGAGGGGUAGAUCCCAGAGGUAUAAUUCACACAUUGGUAGGAAAUCAUGAAUACCAAAACCAAUGGAUGCCUACUCCAUGUGCAGGGGCUGUUAUUGCCUCCCAAGCUCAAUUACAGUGGCCUACCGGAUUAGCUUUAAGUCCUCUAGAUGGCGCUUUACAUAUAGUUGAUGACCGUCUCGUACUUGAACUGACGCAAGAUAUGAAAAUUAGAGUUGUAGCAGGAAUUCCCUUGCACUGCAGGUCCACAGACAACUCAUCUUCUUCAUAUGAAAACGAUAGCGUUCUAGGAACAAUUUUAUCUCUUUCUUUUGCGCCGAAUGGCGACUUAUAUAUUGCUGAAAGCGAUACACGCAAGAGUAACGUUAUUAAACUUAUUAAAACAUCAGGACAAGUUAUACACUUUGCUGGGAAAGUGCAUAAUAAAUUAGAUAGUAGUUGUGCUUGUAACAAUAGUCGUUCCAUUAAAAAGGCCAAAAUAUUUUCAGGCUGUCCGUGUUCAGUCAAUAACAACAACGUUAACUUCUCUAAAACGCUGCUUUCGAGUGAUGCCAAAUUUCAAGCAAUAUCUGCUAUAACAGUAUCACCCAAUGGAGUUUUAAAUAUUGCAGAUCAGGGUUCUCUACGAAUUUUAAUGUUACAGCAUUAUUUGCCAACGCAUGAUGAAAACGGAGAGUUUCAGAUUCCUUACCCAUCUCAAGGGGAAGUUUAUGUCUUUAAUAGAUACGGUCAACAUGUUGCAACAAGAGAUCUUACAUCAGGAAAAACUCGAUAUUCCUUCCUCUACUCAAAAAAUACCAGCUUUGGAAAGUUGUCUACUGUUACCGAUAGCUCUGGCAACAAAAUUCAAUUUUUGAGGGAUUACAGUAACGCUGUAAGUUCAAUUGAAAAUACUCAAGAUCACAAAUCGGAAUUAAAAAUAUCCGGAGUCGGAUAUUUGGAAAAAUUGUCAGUCAAGGGAAGAUCUGAAAUUCAAUUGGAUUAUGAUAUGAACACAGGGCUUUUAGUGAGCCGAUCGGGUGGCGGAGAAACUUGUAUUUACCAAUAUGAUUGGAUUGGAAGGGUAAUCAGCAUUACUUUGCCAAGUGGAGAAAUCUUCAGUUUACGGUCGAGUCUCUCAGGCACUGAGGGACUUGCAACAUCAGUUAGCAACCCUCCGUUGGUUUUAACAUACAGUGAAAAAAUUAACAAACAAGUUGUAAUUUCAAAUGAUUUAGAAACAAUGAAGUCCAUUAUAUAUAAAAAUUCAACCCUUCUUGUCAGCGCUGCCUGGGGAGGGAAAAUACGAAUGUCUGCUAUUGAAAGACAUCCAUUACUUGAACCCACAUUACCAGUUGAAACUCAGAUGUUACCAAUUUGGUCAGAUCAAAUAAGUAUCUUUGGAGAGGACAUUAUAAAUCAUCAGUAUACGAAAUAUUCAUUAGCUGGUGACGCUAAACUUCCUCAACAAAAACUAAGAACUGAAAUAUUCGUUAACAAUUCUCGAGUGUUUGCAAUUGAAUUUGACCAAUUUACAAGCAGGGAAUCGUUUUUCGACUGUAACGGUCAUCUUCUGUUGUCAAUCACAUUUGAUCCCGCCGGUUUACCUCAAGCAUACAUACCAGCAACGAAUGCUUUACCUGUCAAUAUCAGCUACGACGGAUUUAAUCGUAUCGACGGAUGGAAAUGGGGUCGAUCGGAAUUAAAAUACAGUUACGAUCGUCACGGAUUACUAUCAGAAGUAACUAGUUCUCAAGACGGUACGCAAAUGUUUACUUAUAAUGACUGGAAUGUACUUUCCAAAAUAACAUUAGCUAGUCAAAGAAGUUUUCUAUUAACUUACGACGAUGAUGGUGGUCUAAGAUAUGUUACGUUACCAAGCGGAACUAAACACAUAUUCAGUCUUCAGCCUUCACUGGGAUUCCUGCGAGCUACAUACACUCCUCCGGGAAGUAACAAAUCAUAUCUGCAACAUUUUUCACAUUCUGGACUACUUUUACAAACGGUUUUCCCGGGCGAUGGAGCAAGAGUCGUAUAUAGGUACACACCUUUGGGUCGAAUCAAAGAAGUUGUCAGAGGAGAUGGUAAAACCACAUAUAGUUACUCUCCAGAAACUGGUUUACCGGUACAAGUAGUAAAUGUAGAGGCAGAAUUAGAAUAUUUUUGGGACUACCAGUUUAUUGGCGGAUUACUAAUGGAAGAAAGGUUGACUUUUACAGCCAAAUCUGGAUUAAGCAAUGCCAAAUUUACAUAUGACUAUGAUAGCAACUACAGGGUCACAUCUAUUCAAGGUCGUAUAGGUGGUCAAAAUCUCCCUCCAUACAAUUUAGCCUACAACAUUAAAACUGGCUCCUUGCAAAUUAUUGGCACAUUCACAGUCGACAAUCCUGCUAUAAAUCAGACUAAUGUUUACGACGGUACAGCCUUAUUUUCUAGAAAAAUAGACUCUCAUUUCCUUGAAAAGCAAAUCUCCUUAACAAUACAUGGAAUGGAGGUUUUUAGAAUGGAAUUUAAUCAUGAUAUGCACGGGCGAAUAUCUCAAACACGCACAUACACGAAAAAUGUUGGGGUAAACACGUAUACGAAUAUUAAAAACUACACAUGGGAUUGCGAUGGACAAUUGUCAGGCGUAGAAGCUCAAGAACCAUGGGGAUUUAGAUACGAUGAUAAUGGAAAUAUGUUGUCUCUAACAUACAGAGGUAACACCAUUCCAAUGGAAUACAAUACAAUGGAUCGGAUAAUAAAGUUUGGGGAAGGUCAGUAUAAAUAUGAUAAUAGAGGGUCAGUUGUACAAAAUGCGAGAGAGGAAAAAUUCCAUUACAACGCCAAAGGUUUACUUGUCAGAGCAACUAAAAGGGGAAGAUUUGAUGUAAAGUAUUUUUAUGAUCACUUAGACAGACUAAUAACUCGAAAGGAUAAUUACGGUAACGUUACUCAGUUUUUCUAUAACAACCAACAAAUUCCUGGAGAAGUUACUCAAAUUUAUUCUCCGCGUGAUGGUAAACUAAUAUCGUUAGUGUAUGACGACAGAGGACAUUUAGUAUACGCACAGGUGUACAGACACAAGUAUUAUAUAGCCACUGAUCAAUGCGGCACACCUGUGAUGAUUUUCAAUCAAUAUGGCGAGGGUAUAAGAGAAAUCAUGCGUUCGCCUUAUGGGCAUAUUGUUUACGAUUCCAAUCCAUAUCUUUAUUUGCCUGUUGAUUUUUGUGGUGGAAUCCUUGACCAGGUAACAUCUCUUGUGCACAUGCCGAACGGUAAAGUGUAUGAUCCCCUUAUUGGACAAUGGAUGUCACCUAUAUGGGAAAAUGUACUUGAUCGUGUAGCUACUCCCACACAUUUACAUUUAUACAGAUUUAAUGGAAAUGACCCAAUUAAUGUACGUCACAAUCGCAAUCCCCCAAUCGAUCACUUAAGUUGGCUAAAAAUAAUGGGCUUCAAUUUCAAGAAUUUAGCUCCUCAGUUAUAUCCUGAUGAGCUUCCUGGAGGACGAAUACCUCCAUUACUUUCCGAAACAUCGGUGUUUUGGAGUAACUUUAGAAACUCGAUAAAAAGUCAAUUAACACGUCACACUUCACCUAAUAAUAUCGAAUCUGGAAUAUUAGCUCAUAUAUUUACAAGGAGAAUGACCGAUAGCAAAACAUUAUCGGUUCCUCCAAAAUCAGCUCUUAAAACGGAUGUAAUGAAUCUUAUUCCUGAAAAAAUUGGAGCUGCUUCUGAUCCUCCGUUCGGUAAAGGAAUCCUGGUGUCUAGAUCCUCUGAAGGACGAGCUAUAGUAUCCAGUGUUCCCGCAGCGAAUGCCAUAUACAGAGACGUUUAUACUUCCGUAUUUAAUAGAUCUUAUCUCCUUCCGUUUACUUUUGUGGUUCAUAGCGCACAACAGGAUGCUUUCUACUUUGUAAAAGAAGAAACCUGGAAAAUUAACGACGAUAAAGGUCAACUAAAGCGACUCCAAGGCCAAGUAAACACAACGUUUCAUGAAAUUGCGAAAGAAAACGGAAGUGGAAAUAACUAUUUCGACGUAAAAAUCCAUGGUCUAAAUACCGUUAUAAAUUUGCGUUACGGAACAACAUUGGAAAAAGAAAAACAAAGGUUACUUCAUCAUGCCAAACUGCAGGCUAUUAGAAAAGCUUGGCAUAGGGAGAAAGAAACUAUUAAGAAUGGUUUUCAGGGAAGUAUAGAAUGGACUGCCAAUGAAAUCGAAGAGUUAAUGAAAAACAACAACAUAGCAACUUACGAAGCUGAAUAUAUUCAUAAUAUAGGUCACUAUCCAGAGCUUGCUGAAGAUCCAUACAACAUCAAAUUCUUUAAAAAACAAAUCGGAAAUUCCGAUAAACGCAGGAAAAAACGAACAACUAUCAAAAAUAAAACCCAAAGCUGGUGGUUUCCUUGGCAAAAAUUAAUUUGCUAGUGACCUCAUGAGACUAACCUUGAACGGUUUUAAAAGAAAAGAGAAAAACCUAUUUUCAAUUACUAAGUGUGAUGUACCAAAAAAUGUGUUAUUCACACGCGUAAUAUAUGUGAUUUUCGUCUGGUGCAAAUAUUUAAUUACUCUAUAUUUAACUCGUAAGUGAUACUGACUGAUUAUAUUAAGAAUUUGCAUCAGACACCCUGUAAAUAUUUUAUACGGUGACAGUGAGUGCUGUAUGCAGAGAAAAAGAAAAGAAAAAUUCCUGUAGAGCUUAUUAUAGCUACAAUAAAACAGUAACGCACUUUACUGUGGACACAGGUGUGAUUAAAUUUUAGAAUAUCAAAAGACGUUGUAAAUAUAGUCCAGUUAUUAAAUUUUUAAUGAUUUUAA